GGAGCCUGGGCUGUGCUUUCCGCUCUCCAGCUGAUUCCAAUACACACCAAAGUUUGAGAACCACAGUCAAAGCUGCAGCAGCCACCCUGUGUCUGAAGGAAAUUCAGAGACACUGGUCACCAGAUGAGACGCUGAAGCAAUCCUAGCAGUCACUUACCUUCAGGCUGCUUGCUAUGUGCAAAGAAAAAAAAAAAGCUACUUAAGAUAUUUUAAGUAAUUGUGGCUGAAAGCGUUGUCGGUUGAUACACAGCCAAAUCAAAAGAGGAAUCACAACCAAUUAUAAUGUCCCCAAUGCCCAUAGAAUCAAAAUGUUCCAGUUGCUCAGAAGAAAUUCAACUUAGGCCCCGAGGCCAAAGAAAAAUUACUCCCCUAGGCCUGCAUGAAGGAGACACUGCUUGCUGUGAGUGUCUAGUGAAGCCUGGGGUCUCCUACAUGACUGUUUAACUUGCCCAUCUCCUUGUCCGGAAGCCCCCAGUCCUAUCACUGGAGCUACUUAGCUUGGACCAGCUAAUUCUUACCAGACAGAGCUGAAGGAGCCUGGACCAGUGAAUCACUAUAAAAUUUGACUUGUUGGAAAUUCUGCUAUGUCCUUGAACCUCAGCUCUCUAACUGAGCUCUGGCCUUUUCUCUUCGCUCCUUAGUCCAUAUCCUCAUAUUUUGAACUCCAAACCAAUUCCAUUCAAAUGUCUGUACUAUCUUUCUCUCUUCAGUUCUCCUGGGUUCUAGUCUUGGCCCUGAAAAUGUGUGACCCAGUUGCUUUGAUGUCUAUCUGUCCUAUGACUGGAGCCUCCCAGGCUUCCCAGCUAAGCCUUUCUUGACUCUGGGCUUACCGACCAAGACGUCCCCUCUUCCCUCCUAGACGGAAGAAUGGCUACAGCUCAUUGAGAGCUGUAGGCCAAGACCUCUGCGAAGAACUUUGGAAGGGAGAUAUUGUCAUUGUUAUUUUAUAUCUGAGGAAACUGAGGCUUGGAGACCAAUGUUUGCAUAUGACAAUGGCUUGUUGGAUGAAUAUAACUCAAGGAGUCCUGGAGUUUUAUGAUAUUUCUAAACCAGCCAAGCACAAUGCAAGAUAAAUCAUUAAACAUGAAAUCCAGAAUUUAGAUCCUUCAAUCAAAGUGAAGUCAUUCUUUCUAUUAGUCACACAAAAUUGCUAGUCAGAAUUAAAGAAACCUUUGGGUUAUCAUAGAAUAGUCAUCCAAUCUCAAUGGCCUUGAAUUAUUGCUAAAGAAGGAAUAGUCAACAAAGCUCAAGAACUCCUAGCACUAACUCAAUAAUGUUAAAACUGUCUUUAUAGAGAACUCUAAAGGCAUUUAAUUAUUUUCUAUUUGAAAUAGCGUUUCAUUUUGACUGAGUUGCAAUCAUAUUUAAGACCAAUGAAUUAGCUUUAGUUAUUCUGUGUUCUCAUGAUGCAUUCAAUUUAUUCAUUUAUUUACUAUACAUUUAUGGAAUGCCUGCAAUGUGCCCUGAAAUGUGUGAGGGCUGGAUAUGUGACAGUGAGGAAAAUAGACGUGAUGAUAACCCUCUUGGCACUUAAAUCUAGUAGAAGAGAGAGACAAGACAGAAAAUAAUUUUAGAUAAUAAAAAAAUAUUAUUAAAAAAUAAACAAGGCAUUUUCACAGAGAUAAUGGGUUGGAAGUAUUGUUACUUUAGAUACGAUUAUCAAGAGAGGCAUCUCCAAGGAGGAGACAUCUAAACUGAGACCAGAAAAAUGGGAAAUAUCCCAUCAUGCCAUGUGAAA
Long non-coding RNA from Equus caballus (horse), 1738 nucleotides. The record is from Ensembl. NCBI's taxonomy places the organism in Eukaryota, Metazoa, Chordata, Mammalia, Perissodactyla, Equidae.